This 1726-nucleotide long non-coding RNA is filed under the name Brassica rapa (field mustard). RNAcentral's name for it is "long non-coding RNA (BRAP_LNC002176)". The record is from RNAcentral. Lineage: Eukaryota; Viridiplantae; Streptophyta; Magnoliopsida; Brassicales; Brassicaceae.
AACGAACAGAAACACAAAACUUCUCUUCCCUCCCGGAAGAUCCUUGCAUCUGAUCCUCUCCAUCAGCCAUUUUCAUCCCUCAGCCCCCUUCCAUCAUCCUAGCACAAGAGAAACCAAGAAUAAAACAACAUCAAUGUCAUAUAUAUAAAGAAAGAGAAAGAAUUAUGAGUUAUAAGACAGCUCAGUCAUUCAUUGUAGAUUAUUUUCUUUUACCGGUGAGCAAGAAGAUGGGAAUCUUAUAUUUGGUAUUUUAACUGCUGUAGAAAUAUUUUAUUUCAUCAAUCAAUCGUAGUUGAACAUAUUAGCUUAAGAACUUUUGGUUUAUUCCUUAUAUUUCUCUGAAAUUCAGUGUGGAAAAAUGUCUACUUAGGUCAUUUUCACCUUUUCAGAUUAUUCAUUAUUUGUAUUAUAUUGUUGAAUAAUGUCAUUAUAUAACACGAUAAUCUUUUGUGUUAUUUUCCUGAAUAGAUGAACUUUAUACUGCUCGGUAUAUUUCUUUUUUUUUUUGUAAAAAUAUAUGUUUCUUCUAUCUUCAACUAAAAGAAAAGGAAUGAAGCAACACAUAUAGUUAGCUCUUUUAAUAUAUCAAAUCCCUUUAUUUUAUAUAGAGCAUAUGAUAGAGCUGUUAUUAGGAGUAGAAGCUGAUCAGUAUUAAACAUCAACUAUCAUGAUGACUUGAAGAAGCAGGCAACUACUCCAAACAAAAAAGGUUAUACACUUUGUAUAUGUCUAACUAAUAUUAAAUAAAAUGUUAAGGAAGUAAAGAGUUCGUCCACGUACUUCGCCGACAACGCACAUCUUCCGAGUUUUGAAGUAAAGAGUUGUCACUUUAGACAAGUGUGGUUUGGAAAAUGAUCUUUAAACUGCGUUUGUGUUUUUUUAUUCUUUGUCAGCAGUCCAUUUUGUUAGAUCAAAUGAUAGUCGAGAUUAAGAUGUUUCCAAAAGACUCGCUCCAAUCCGGUCUUAUCUAAUAGAAAAGAGAAUAACACCACUUUUUCGCUUCUUUGGCAAGAAAAUCUGCAUGCAUAUUCUUAUACCUACGAAUAUGAAAAUACUAAAACCCUCGAAACCGUCAUGUAGGAAGCAAAAAAAAGACUAACUCGAAAGUAAAAGCCGACCAAUUAAUAGGAUUACCAAUCAAGUAUUUCCCUUUUGACAAAAGCAAUUAUAAAAGUCUUACUUGAGUGCAGAUUCAAGAAAUACUUCUUGACAAAACAUCGUCAUUAGAAACAUCCCACACACUCUAACCCAUCUCACAAACAACCCAAUAACGCCAUAACAAGUCAAAAUAUUAACUAUGUACACUCUCAUAUUAACUGUGUUUCCAUCGUCAAAAUAAUACACUACUUUUUUUUUUUGAAACACUUAAAAUAAUACACUACUGUUGUCACUAACCACCAUAAAAUGGAUAAAAAACAAUUUUAAACUCAUUAAAAAUAAAUAUAUAAACCCGGCGCGUAGCGCCGGAAUACCACUACUAAAUAAAUAUUUUAGUCAUUAGAGAAGUGGUUAGUGAAAUAAAAGCCGACCAGUUUGGUUCCGGUCACUCUGAUCCGUUGCGUAACCAACAGUUCAAAAUUAAAAUGACUAACCAAAUUAAAUACAGUGUUAGUAAAAACCUGAAGCUUAUUGGACAAUAUAGAAAUGGUUUUCUUUUACUUGGUCUCUUGUCGAAUGUCCUCGGAGAGAUGAUCAAAUUAAAUAGUAAUAGGCUAUUAAAUACUAG